This is a long non-coding RNA of Jaculus jaculus (lesser Egyptian jerboa), 1348 nucleotides long. RefSeq lists it as uncharacterized. The record is from RefSeq and is a predicted model, not a curated record. NCBI's taxonomy places the organism in Eukaryota, Metazoa, Chordata, Mammalia, Rodentia, Dipodidae. The transcript is spliced from 4 exons.
CCGGAGCCGAGGAGCGUGGUGCAGUCGGCCAGGUCCUGGAGGUCUAUGGUGACACAAAGGCAAGGCACACCUGGAGUGACAGCUAGUAAGGAAGCAGAACUUACCCGCAGGAACUGCCCUCCAGAACCAGUCCCCAGUUAUAAUUCCAGCUUCCCCCAAACCUGGUCCUGGUUCUGUCCUGUGCGCCUGGAAAGCUUAGCUCCGGGACAGACAGAUCUGGAAUUGUUCGGGAAUUGACUGAUCCCCACUGCUGAAGUCACCUCCCUCCAAAGCUGCUCUUUUCAAGAAGGCCUAGACCACCUCCUCACAGCCAGGUGACACCCGUGGAGCCACAGGAAGCCAGAAACCCUCUGACUUCUCAGCCCAGUCGCCUUAUCUGUCAACCGAGUCCUCCUGGAGCCCGGCUGGAAGCAAGGCCCCUGCUGAAUACAUACGGGAAGGUGCAGAAUGGGACGGGGCACCUAUCGCAGGAAGAGAGUUUUGGAAACUUUUCUAAAGACCCUCCAUGGGAGAAACUUAGCAACGUGGCUAAGGGUUAAGACUGCCCUCAAGUCCUAUGAACCCCAGUGUGUCAUCCUCUGAAAAAAAAAAGGGGGGGACAAUGGCCUGCUUGUUGUACCAUUGUUGGAAGAAAAGGAUGUUAAAUACAGUACCUGGCACGCUGCAGUCUUUGUUACCCUGGGUUCACAAGCAGCAGGGUCGAUCGGAACUACCCAGGUGACUACCGAGGAAAUGGGCCCUAACCGGCUGCGACGCUGUCCUGUCCAACAUCUGCUGGCUGCCCCCGCCCGCAGGUUCCCUGUAAGGCAGUAUCUCUUGCUUUACCCUCUAACAGUGUGCCCACCUAGUCCCCAGAGCUUCCAGCCCCAGGACACCAAUGAGCAUGACCAUGCCCUCUGCAUGGCAGAGACUACUGUGGACGUCCCUCUGCCCCGUGCCCCUCGGGUCUUCAGCCUGCAGGUUGACAUGCCAGGGUUCAAAGGCAAGUCACCCCGAGCUCCUCCGACUACUGAACUAUGCAUCUUGAACUCACCAGGUUGUUUCGGAGCGAAGUUGCGGGGAGGGAGGAACCCAUGGAAUUGCCAACUGCAGGGCCCGGCGUGGUGGCACACGCCUUUCAUCCCAGCGCUCUGGGAGGCAGAGGCAGGAGGAUCAUCCCCAUGCCACCCUGAGACUACAUAGUGAAUUCCAGGUCGGCCUGAGCUAGAGAGAGACCCUUCCUACCUUGAAGAAAAGAAAGAAAAAGAAAUUGCCAACAGCCCUGAUCCACCAAUUGACCUCACCUGUCACGGGGCAGAGACACUACACUGCACUGCAAAAGUCACACUCAGACCAACCAAGACGAGCU